AUAAAGGAAGAAGUACAGUGGAGACGGGGUUGGUAUCGGGAGAGGUGCAGAGGAAGGGAGCCUGGGCGCUUAAAACGGCCAGGGCAACGCAAAAAUUAAAUCUCUUGAACAGCACGUUGGGAGCCGGACGGCGGCCUCGGUGGAAGGCCGUGUAAAUCUGGUGGGCAGACGGCGGUGGUCUGAGCCCGCUUGUGGCGCAGGGAUCGGGCAAAGCCGCGUGCAGCGGGUGCGAUGGUUGCGGUGCAGACUGACAGGCGCGUGUACACGCAGAGGUGCCUCCAGAGCCCGUUUGCAGCACCUGGGUGAAAAGUUCAUGCUGGAAGGUGUGCUCGGUUCCUCUUCACAGUUGCCACUAAAGGAUAACGCUGUCUACCCAGCCUUGAGUCAGAUAAUGUCUAGCCUGCUUAUCCUGAGGACCUGAAAACGCUUAGAAAACCAAACCAAACCAAAAACUUCAUUAAGAUAUCGUCACUGGACAGACUUAAGAAAACAGUAAUGAUUGGCAAAAGAGCAUGCAUAUAAAACUGUACUGCAUCUCAGUUAUACAUUACUAUUAAAACCUCUCUGACAGUUUCUCUUUUAGGUGCUUGCCCUGCCAGGCUCCGUUGUGUAGGGGUUAAAGAACAGUCGUUUUCCACCUCGCAACCUGUGGAUUCAGCUGUGUUGGGGCAGAAGAGACGGGACCAGCUGCUGGCCACAUUUCCUGCUUUAUUUUAAAAGGUAGUAUGAAAAAUGAGAAUAAAGAGGUAACAGGGCUUUUGCUAUCUUUACUUAAAAAAAAAUUGAAUGCUAGGAUCAUUUAAUGUCAUCCAAGAUGUUUUUUUGAAAGACAAUGUCCUAUCAAUCAGGUUUUCCUCCAGUGUAUUCAGAAUUGCAGCUGUUCAGAGUACAUUGCCAGCGCAAAAGAGUCUUGGUGGGAUGUAUGUUAUGUUACACCUCUGUGACAUCAACAGGAGUGUUUAAAGUUUCAGUCUGAAAUUGCGUAACCCUGCUGUAAUUGAUGGGUUGUACAAAUGCCACAUGAAUCUGAAGCCAGCCUUCAAGACGUGUACUAACUGAUACGCAAAAUGGAAAUAAUUGGAGCUGCUGGAUUGAGCUGAGGUGAAUCUGCUUAGCUCAGAGUUAGUAAAUAUGCUUUAUUUAUGAAGCUUAACAUGCUUGAUUAAAAGACAAACAGUAAUGUAACAGGUAUGGGACGUUACAAUGGCAUUUUUACAGUCACUUCAGAGCAGAAGUGUAUUUUAAGUUAACUUAAAUAUGCAUUCUUUCUUUUUGCAUCACUGCGAAGUAAUAGGAGUCAGAGACUCGGUUCUGGUCUGUGUUAGGAACCUGCACAUCACCCUAAUUGUAAAACUAUCUACAAGCUGUGUCUGAGAGUAGCUGAUUUUAUGACAAGGAAAAUUAGGUGUACUGGUACAAGAAGAAGGUCAAGUCCCAAGAAAGUAAGUGGCUGCAGGCAUUUCUAGUGCCUACUGAAUCAUAUUUAAACCAAAUAGAGGGGAGGAAGUUAUCUGAAAUGAUAACCAACUGUAUUGUUUGUAUGGUGUGUUAUUAAUGUAGCUUUUUGAAGUAGAAGCCUUGAAAUGAUACAAUUUAAUACUUGAAAAAAAUAGUGUUAUUGUUUCUUUGUAAUUACGUGCCAUCCAGAUAAGAAUACAGUAUCAUAAUAAAAUCAGACUUGUUGAUCUUUCAGUU
Molecule: non-coding RNA, 1695 nt
Organism: Struthio camelus australis
Lineage: Eukaryota; Metazoa; Chordata; Aves; Struthioniformes; Struthionidae
Source: RefSeq, a predicted model, not a curated record